RNAcentral lists this ribosomal RNA (433 nucleotides) under uncultured bacterium. Its description in RNAcentral is "partial 16S ribosomal RNA". It matches the Rfam family "Bacterial small subunit ribosomal RNA", at positions 29 to 507 of the family's 1533-position model. The record is from RNAcentral.
AACGAACGCUGGCGGCAUGCCUAACACAUGCAAGUCGAACGAGACCUUCGGGUCUAGUGGCGCACGGGUGCGUAACGCGUGGGAACCUGCCCCUAGGUUCGGAAUAACUCAGAGAAAUUUGAGCUAAUACCGGAUAAUGUCUUCGGACCAAAGAUUUAUCGCCUUUGGAUGGGCCCGCGUAGGAUUAGCUUGUUGGUGGGGUAAUGGCCUACCAAGGCGACGAUCCUUAGCUGGUCUGAGAGGAUGAUCAGCCACACUGGGACUGAGACACGGCCCAGACUCCUACGGGAGGCAGCAGUGGGGAAUAUUGGACAAUGGGCGAAAGCCUGAUCCAGCAAUGCCGCGUGAGUGAUGAAGGCCUUAGGGUUGUAAAGCUCUUUUACCAGGGAUGAUAAUGACAGUACCUGGAGAAUAAGCUCUGGCUAACUCCGUG